RNAcentral lists this ribosomal RNA (1002 nucleotides) under Candidatus Omnitrophota bacterium. Its description in RNAcentral is "bacterial SSU rRNA". It matches the Rfam family "Bacterial small subunit ribosomal RNA", at positions 1 to 982 of the family's 1533-position model. The record is from RNAcentral. Lineage: Bacteria; Pseudomonadati; Candidatus Omnitrophota.
AAACUGGAGAGUUUGAUCCUGGCUCAGAACGAACGCUGGCGGCGUGGAUUAGGCAUGCAAGUCGAACGAUCCCUUUCGUCAAGAGGGGGAUAGUGGCGAACGGGUGAGUAACACGUGGGUAAUCUGCCUUUAGGUUCGGGAUAACCCGUCGAAAGAUGGACUAAUACCGGAUGAGACCACGGUCCCCGAUGGGACUGGGGUUAAAGAUGGGGAUCCUGAAAAUGGACCUGUUGCCUUUAGAUGAGCCCGCGAACUAUCAGCUUGUUGGUAGGGUAACGGCCUACCAAGGCUAUGACGGUUAGCUGGUCUGAGAGGAUGGUCAGCCACACUGGGACUGAGACACUGCCCAGACUCCUACGGGAGGCUGCAGUCGAGAAUCUUUUGCAAUGCUCGAAAGGGUGACAAUGCGACGCCGCGUGAGCGAUGAAGGCCUUCGGGUUGUAAAGCUCUGUCAGCUGGGAUGAAUGUAAGGCGGUCAAUAACCGUCUUGCUUGACAGUACCAGCAAAGGAAGCCACGGCUAACUCCGUGCCAGCAGCCGCGGUAAUACGGAGGUGGCAAGCGUUGUUCGGAUUUACUGGGUGUAAAGGACAUGUAGGCGUCUUAUUAAGUCGGAUGUGAAAUCCCUUGGCUCAACCAAGGAACUGCAUCCGAUACUGAUAAGAUUGAGUACGGGAGAGGUAAGCGGAAUUCCGGAAGUAAGGGUGAAAUCUGUAGAUAUCCGGAGGAACACCAUUAGCGAAGGCGGCUUACUGGUCCGAUACUGACGCUGAAAUGUGAAAGCUAGGGGAGCAAACAGGAUUAGAUACCCUGGUAGUCCUAGCUGUAAACGAUGGGCACUAGGUGCUGGCCCGAUAGGGGCAGUGUCGUAGCUAACGCGUUAAGUGCCCCACCUGGGGACUACGGUCGCAAGGCUAAAACUCAAAGGAAUUGACGGGGACCCGCACAAGCGGUGGAGCAUGUGGUUUAAUUCGAUGCUACGCGAGGAACCUUACCUGGGCUU